AACGAACGCUGGCGGCAUGCCUAACACAUGCAAGUCGAACGAUACCUUCGGGUCUAGUGGCGCACGGGUGCGUAACGCGUGGGAACCUGCCCUUAGGUUCGGAAUAACUCCCCGAAAGGGGUGCUAAUACCGGAUAAUGUCUCCGGACCAAAGAUUUAUCGACUUUGGAUGGGCCCGCGUUGGAUUAGCUAGUUGGUAGUGUAAAAGCCUACCAAGGCGACGAUCCAUAGCUGGUCUGAGAGGAUGAUCAGCCACACUGGGACUGAGACACGGCCCAGACUCCUACGGGAGGCAGCAGUGGGGAAUAUUGGAAAAUGGGCGACAGCCUGAUCCAGCAAUGCCGCGUGAGUGAUGAAGGCCUUAGGGUUGUAAAGCUCUUUUACCCGGGAUGAUAAUGACAGUACCGGGAGAAUAAGCUCCGGCUAACUCCGUG
RNAcentral lists this ribosomal RNA (433 nucleotides) under uncultured bacterium. RNAcentral's name for it is "partial 16S ribosomal RNA". It matches the Rfam family "Bacterial small subunit ribosomal RNA", at positions 29 to 507 of the family's 1533-position model. The record is from RNAcentral.